Molecule: ribosomal RNA, 820 nt
Filed under: Pseudomonas nitroreducens
Lineage: Bacteria; Pseudomonadati; Pseudomonadota; Gammaproteobacteria; Pseudomonadales; Pseudomonadaceae
Description: bacterial SSU rRNA
Rfam family: Bacterial small subunit ribosomal RNA
Source: RNAcentral
UUGCUCCUGGAUUCAGCGGCGGACGGGUGAGUAAUGCCUAGGAAUCUGCCUGGUAGUGGGGGACAACGUUUCGAAAGGAACGCUAAUACCGCAUACGUCGUACGGGAGAAAGCAGGGGACCUUCGGGCCUUGCGCUAUCAGAUGAGCCUAGGUCGGAUUAGCUAGUUGGUGGGGUAAAGGCCUACCAAGGCGACGAUCCGUAACUGGUCUGAGAGGAUGAUCAGUCACACUGGAACUGAGACACGGUCCAGACUCCUACGGGAGGCAGCAGUGGGGAAUAUUGGACAAUGGGCGAAAGCCUGAUCCAGCCAUGCCGCGUGUGUGAAGAAGGUCUUCGGAUUGUAAAGCACUUUAAGUUGGGAGGAAGGGCAGUAAGUUAAUACCUUGCUGUUUUGACGUUACCAACAGAAUAAGCACCGGCUAACUUCGUGCCAGCAGCCGCGGUAAUACGAAGGGUGCAAGCGUUAAUCGGAAUUACUGGGCGUAAAGCGCGCGUAGGUGGUUUGGUAAGAUGGAUGUGAAAUCCCCGGGCUCAACCUGGGAACUGCAUCCAUAACUGCCUGACUAGAGUACGGUAGAGGGUGGUGGAAUUUCCUGUGUAGCGGUGAAAUGCGUAGAUAUAGGAAGGAGCACCAGUGGCGAAGGCGACCACCUGGACUGAUACUGACACUGAGGUGCGAAAGCGUGGGGAGCAAACAAGUUUGGAUACCCUGGUAGUCCACGCCGUAAACGAUGUCGACUAGCCGUUGGAAUCCUUGAGAUUUUAGUGGCGCAGCUAACGCGAUAAUCGACCGCGUGGGACGCCCGAUGACAAAAAAGU